GACGAACGCUGGCGGCGUGCUUAACACAUGCAAGUCGAACGGUAAGGCCCUUCGGGGUACACGAGUGGCGAACGGGUGAGUAACACGUGGGUGAUCUGCCCUGCACUUCGGGAUAAGCCUGGGAAACUGGGUCUAAUACCGGAUAGGACCCUGGGAUGCAUGUCCUGGGGUGGAAAGCUUUUGCGGUGUGGGAUGGGCCCGCGGCCUAUCAGCUUGUUGGUGGGGUGAUGGCCUACCAAGGCGACGACGGGUAGCCGGCCCGAGAGGGUGACCGGCCACACUGGGACGGAGAUACGGCCCAGACUCCUACGGGAGGCAGCAGUGGGGAAUAUUGCACAAUGGGCGCAAGCCUGAUGCAGCGACGCCGCGUGAGGGAUGACGGCCUUCGGGUUGUAAACCUCUUUCAGCACCGACGAAGCGCAAGUGACGGUAGGUGCAGAAGAAGGACCGGCCAACUACGUGCCAGCAGCCGCCGUAA
This 478-nucleotide ribosomal RNA is filed under the name uncultured bacterium. RNAcentral's name for it is "partial 16S ribosomal RNA". It matches the Rfam family "Bacterial small subunit ribosomal RNA", at positions 28 to 523 of the family's 1533-position model. The record is from RNAcentral.